Molecule: ribosomal RNA, 1275 nt
Filed under: Frigoribacterium sp. 181
Lineage: Bacteria; Bacillati; Actinomycetota; Actinomycetes; Micrococcales; Microbacteriaceae
Description: bacterial SSU rRNA
Rfam family: Bacterial small subunit ribosomal RNA
Source: RNAcentral
CGUGAGUAACCUGCCCUUGACUCUGGGAUAAGCGCUAGAAAUGGCGUCUAAUACCGGAUACGAGCUUCAGCCGCAUGGCUAGGAGUUGGAAAGAAUUUUGGUCAAGGAUGGACUCGCGGCCUAUCAGCUAGUUGGUGAGGUAAUGGCUCACCAAGGGCGACGACGGGUAGCCGGCCUGAGAGGGUGACCGGGCCACACUGGGACUGAGACACGGCCCAGACUCCUACGGGAGGCAGCAGUGGGGAAUAUUGCACAAUGGGCGAAAGCCUGAUGCAGCAACGCCGCGUGAGGGAUGACGGCCUUCGGGUUGUAAACCUCUUUUAGUAGGGAAGAAGCGAAAGUGACGGUACCUGCAGAAAAAGCACCGGCUAACUACGUGCCAGCAGCCGCGGUAAUACGUAGGGUGCAAGCGUUGUCCGGAAUUAUUGGGCGUAAAGAGCUCGUAGGCGGUUUGUCGCGUCUGCUGUGAAAUCUGGGGGCUCAACCCCCAGCCUGCAGUGGGUACGGGCAGACUAGAGUGCGGUAGGGGAGAUUGGAAUUCCUGGUGUAGCGGUGGAAUGCGCAGAUAUCAGGAGGAACACCGAUGGCGAAGGCAGAUCUCUGGGCCGUAACUGACGCUGAGGAGCGAAAGCAUGGGGAGCGAACAGGAUUAGAUACCCUGGUAGUCCAUGCCGUAAACGUUGGGAACUAGUNNGGGGCCAUUCCACGGUCUCCGUGUCGCAGCUAACGCAUUAAGUUCNNNGNCUGGGGAGUACGGCCGCAAGGCUAAAACUCAAAGGAAUUGACGGGGGCCCGCACAAGCGGCGGAGCAUGCGGAUUAAUUCGAUGCAACGCGAAGAACCUUACCAAGGCUUGACAUAUACCGGAAACGUCCAGAGAUGGUCGCCCCGCAAGGUCGGUAUACAGGUGGUGCAUGGUUGUCGUCAGCUCGUGUCGUGAGAUGUUGGGUUAAGUCCCGCAACGAGCGCAACCCUCGUUCUAUGUUGCCAGCACGUUAUGGUGGGAACUCAUAGGAGACUGCCGGGGUCAACUCGGAGGAAGGUGGGGAUGACGUCAAAUCAUCAUGCCCCUUAUGUCUUGGGCUUCACGCAUGCUACAAUGGCCGGUACAAAGGGCUGCGAUACCGUAAGGUGGAGCGAAUCCCAAAAAGCCGGUCUCAGUUCGGAUUGAGGUCUGCAACUCGACCUCAUGAAGUCGGAGUCGCUAGUAAUCGCAGAUCAGCAACGCUGCGGUGAAUACGUUCCCGGGCCUUGUACACACCGCCCGUCAAGUCAU